Molecule: ribosomal RNA, 617 nt
Filed under: Chaetosphaeria sp.
Lineage: Eukaryota; Fungi; Ascomycota; Sordariomycetes; Chaetosphaeriales; Chaetosphaeriaceae
Description: partial large subunit ribosomal RNA
Rfam family: Eukaryotic large subunit ribosomal RNA
Source: RNAcentral
CCGCUUGAACUUAAGCAUAUCAAUAAGCGGAGGAAAAGAAACCAACAGGGAUUGCCUCAGUAACGGCGAGUGAAGCGGCAACAGCUCAAAUUUGAAAUCUGGCCUCCUGGUCCGAGUUGUAAUUUGCAGAGGAUGCUUCGGGCGCGGUGCCUUCCAAGUCCCCUGGAACGGGGCGCCGGAGAGGGUGAGAGCCCCGUACGGUUGGCGGCCAAGCCUGUGUGAAGCUCCUUCGACGAGUCGAGUAGUUUGGGAAUGCUGCUCUAAGCGGGAGGUAGACCCCUUCUAAAGCUAAAUAUUGGCCAGAGACCGAUAGCGCACAAGUAGAGUGAUCGAAAGAUGAAAAGCACUUUGAAAAGAGGGUUAAACAGCACGUGAAAUUGUUGAAAGGGAAGCGCUUGAGACCAGACGUGCGCCGGGGUGCUCAGCGGGCGUUCUCGCCCGUGCACUCGCCCCGGCGCAGGCCAGCGUCGGUUUGGGCGGGGGGAUAAAGGCGUCUGGAAUGUGGCUCCCCCGGGAGUGUUAUAGCCAGGCGUGCCAUGCCUCCGCCCGGACCGAGGUACGCGUUCUGCAAGGACGCUGGCGUAAUGGUCCCCAGCGACCCGUCUUGAAAACACGGA